This 497-nucleotide ribosomal RNA is filed under the name uncultured bacterium. Its description in RNAcentral is "partial 16S ribosomal RNA". It matches the Rfam family "Bacterial small subunit ribosomal RNA", at positions 28 to 507 of the family's 1533-position model. The record is from RNAcentral.
GACGAACGCUGGCGGCGUGCCUAAUACAUGCAAGUAGAACGCUGAAGAGAGGAGCUUGCUCUUCUUGGAUGAGUUGCGAACGGGUGAGUAACGCGUAGGUAACCUGCCUUGUAGCGGGGGAUAACUAUUGGAAACGAUAGCUAAUACCGCAUAACAAUGGAUGACACAUGUCAUUUAUUUGAAAGGGGCAAUUGCUCCACUACAAGAUGGACCUGCGUUGUAUUAGCUAGUAGGUGAGGUAAUGGCUCACCUAGGCGACGAUACAUAGCCGACCUGAGAGGGUGAUCGGCCACACUGGGACUGAGACACGGCCCAGACUCCUACGGGAGGCAGCAGUAGGGAAUCUUCGGCAAUGGGGGCAACCCUGACCGAGCAACGCCGCGUGAGUGAAGAAGGGUUUCGGAUCGUAAAGCUCUGUUGUAAGCCAAGAACGGGUGUGAGAGUGGAAAGUUCACACUGUGACGGUAGCUUACCAGAAAGGGACGGCUAACUACGUG